Molecule: transfer RNA, 76 nt
Filed under: Bdellovibrionales bacterium
Lineage: Bacteria; Pseudomonadati; Bdellovibrionota; Bdellovibrionia; Bdellovibrionales
Description: tRNA-Ala
Rfam family: tRNA
About the family: Transfer RNA (tRNA) molecules are approximately 80 nucleotides in length. Their secondary structure includes four short double-helical elements and three loops (D, anti-codon, and T loops). Further hydrogen bonds mediate the characteristic L-shaped molecular structure. tRNAs have two regions of fundamental functional importance: the anti-codon, which is responsible for specific mRNA codon recognition, and the 3' end, to which the tRNAs corresponding amino acid is attached (by aminoacyl-tRNA synthetases). tRNAs cope with the degeneracy of the genetic code in two manners: having more than one tRNA (with a specific anti-codon) for a particular amino acid; and 'wobble' base-pairing, i.e. permitting non-standard base-pairing at the 3rd anti-codon position.
Source: RNAcentral
GGGGCCGUAGCUCAGCUGGGAGAGCGCUUGACUGGCAGUCAAGAGGUCGGCGGUUCGAUCCCGCUCGGCUCCACCA